Molecule: non-coding RNA, 21 nt
Filed under: Caenorhabditis elegans
Lineage: Eukaryota; Metazoa; Nematoda; Chromadorea; Rhabditida; Rhabditidae
Source: RNAcentral
UCGAGAACGAUUUUUGUGGUU